AGCGAACGCUGGCGGCAUGCCUUACACAUGCAAGUCGAACGGUAACGGGUCCUUCGGGAUGCCGACGAGUGGCGAACGGGUGAGUAAUAUAUCGGAACGUGCCCAGUAGUGGGGGAUAACUGCUCGAAAGAGCAGCUAAUACCGCAUACGACCUGAGGGUGAAAGGGGGGGAUCGCAAGACCUCUCGCUAUUGGAGCGGCCGAUAUCAGAUUAGCUAGUUGGUGGGGUAAAGGCCUACCAAGGCAACGAUCUGUAGUUGGUCUGAGAGGACGACCAGCCACACUGGGACUGAGACACGGCCCAGACUCCUACGGGAGGCAGCAGUGGGGAAUUUUGGACAAUGGGCGCAAGCCUGAUCCAGCAAUGCCGCGUGCAGGAAGAAGGCCUUCGGGUUGUAAACUGCUUUUGUCAGGGAAGAAAUCUUCUGGGCUAAUACCCCGGGAGGAUGACGGUACCUGAAGAAUAAGCACCGGCUAACUACGUGCCAGCCGCCGCGGUAA
This 500-nucleotide ribosomal RNA is filed under the name uncultured bacterium. RNAcentral describes it as "partial 16S ribosomal RNA". It matches the Rfam family "Bacterial small subunit ribosomal RNA", at positions 29 to 523 of the family's 1533-position model. The record is from RNAcentral.